UCUCUGUGAUGAUGAACAAUGAUGACGAGUCCGAUUCUAAUCCAUUCACCCGUGACGACAAAACGAGGCAUUUGUCUGAGAGAA
Molecule: small nucleolar RNA, 84 nt
Organism: Cucurbita pepo subsp. pepo (vegetable marrow)
Lineage: Eukaryota; Viridiplantae; Streptophyta; Magnoliopsida; Cucurbitales; Cucurbitaceae
Source: RefSeq, a predicted model, not a curated record